This 430-nucleotide ribosomal RNA is filed under the name uncultured Streptococcus sp. RNAcentral describes it as "bacterial SSU rRNA". It matches the Rfam family "Bacterial small subunit ribosomal RNA", at positions 952 to 1384 of the family's 1533-position model. Lineage: Bacteria; Bacillati; Bacillota; Bacilli; Lactobacillales; Streptococcaceae. The record is from RNAcentral.
CGAAGCAACGCGAAGAACCUUACCAGGUCUUGACAUCCCGAUGCUAUUUCUAGAGAUAGAAAGUUACUUCGGUACAUCGGUGACAGGUGGUGCAUGGUUGUCGUCAGCUCGUGUCGUGAGAUGUUGGGUUAAGUCCCGCAACGAGCGCAACCCCUAUUGUUAGUUGCCAUCAUUCAGUUGGGCACUCUAGCGAGACUGCCGGUAAUAAACCGGAGGAAGGUGGGAUGACGUCAAAUCAUCAUGCCCCUUAUGACCUGGGCUACACACGUGCUACAAUGGUUGGUACAACGAGUUGCGAGUCGGUGACGGCGAGCUAAUCUCUUAAAGCCAAUCUCAGUUCGGAUUGUAGGCUGCAACUCGCCUACAUGAAGUUGGAAUCGCUAGUAAUCGCGGAUCAGCACGCCGCGGUGAAUACGUUCCCGGGCCUUGU